This is a long non-coding RNA of Xiphophorus couchianus (Monterrey platyfish), 182 nucleotides long. RefSeq lists it as uncharacterized. The transcript is spliced from 2 exons. The record is from RefSeq and is a predicted model, not a curated record. Lineage: Eukaryota; Metazoa; Chordata; Actinopteri; Cyprinodontiformes; Poeciliidae.
AUUAGAUCCGUCCAUGUAAAAAUUUGUCUCAAAGCAGUUCUGAUGUUUUCCAUCUUUCCUUUAGGUUUGUAUGUAAAAGGCUCCAGUCCACAGUCUUUGAGGCUUAUUUUACUCAGCAGUUCACAUGCAUGGCUUCCCUUAAGAGAAAGAUUUGUUUGUAACUGAUGGGACACACUUGUGAA